RNAcentral lists this ribosomal RNA (253 nucleotides) under uncultured bacterium. RNAcentral describes it as "partial 16S ribosomal RNA". It matches the Rfam family "Bacterial small subunit ribosomal RNA", at positions 524 to 776 of the family's 1533-position model. The record is from RNAcentral.
UACGUAGGGGGCAAGCGUUGUCCGGAAUCAUUGGGCGUAAAGCGCGCGUAGGCGGCCCUGUAAGUCCGUUGUGAAAGUCAAAGGCUCAACCUUUGAAAGCCGAUGGAUACUGCAGGGCUAGAGUCCGGAAGAGGCGAGUGGAAUUCCUGGUGUAGCGGUGGAAUGCGCAGAUAUCAGGAGGAACACCAAUAGCGAAGGCAGCUCGCUGGGACGGUACUGACGCUAAGGCGCGAAAGCGUGGGGAGCGAACGGG